Heterocephalus glaber (naked mole-rat) is the source of this 245-nucleotide non-coding RNA. Lineage: Eukaryota; Metazoa; Chordata; Mammalia; Rodentia; Bathyergidae. The record is from Rfam.
GGAUGUGAGGCUGUCUGGCUGGAACAUCUGUCACACCAUAGAUCGCCAGGUUGAUCUGGCUGAUCUGGCUGGCUGGGUAGGUAUCCCCUUGUUCCCUCGCUGCUCCAUGCUUGGUGGGAUAAGGGAGGACUGUUUCCCUGGUCAAGGGUGUUAUUUGAGUAGCUGCACUCCCCUGCUAGAACCUGCACAAGCUCUCAGAGUCUUUGGGAAGGGCUAGGGGUGUAGCUAAGUGGUAGUGUAUUUGC